GAUGAACGCUGGCGGCGUGCCUAAUACAUGCAAGUCGAGCGAACAGACGAGGCUCUUGCUUCUCUGACGUUAGCGGCGGACGGGUGAGUAACACGAGGAUAACCGACCUAUAAGACUAGGAUAAGUUCGGGAAACCGAAUACAAUACCGGAUAAUAUAUUGAACCUCAGGGUUCAAUAGUGACAGACGGUUCAGCUGACACUAAGAGAGGGAACCUAGCCGGAUUGGCUAGUUGGUAAGGUAACGGCGUACCAAGACAACGCUGCGUAGCCGACCUGAGAGGAUGAUCAGUCACACUGGAACUGAGACACGGUCCAGACUCCUACGGGAGGCAGCAGUAGGGAAUCUUGGACAAUGGGCGAAAGCCUGAUGCAGCCACGCCGCGUGUGUGAUGAAGGUCUUCGGAUCGUAAAACUCUGUUAUUUGGGAAGAACGGAAGUAAGUGAAUAUAUUGCCGUCUUGACGUUACCAACACAGUAAGCAACGGCUAACUUCGUG
Molecule: ribosomal RNA, 497 nt
Filed under: uncultured bacterium
Lineage: Bacteria
Description: partial 16S ribosomal RNA
Rfam family: Bacterial small subunit ribosomal RNA
Source: RNAcentral